GUCCCAGACUCCUACGGGAGGCAGCAGUGGGGAAUAUUGCACAAUGGGGGGAACCCUGAUGCAGCGACGCCGCGUGGGUGAAGGAGUAUUUCGGUAUGUAAAGCCCUAUCAGCAGGGAAGAAAAUGACGGUACCUGAGUAAGAAGCCCCGGCUAACUACGUGCCAGCAGCCGCGGUAAUAUGUAGGGGGCGAGCGUUAUCCGGAUUCACUGGGUGUAAAGGGAGCGUAGACGGCCAUGCAAGCCAGGGGUGAAAGCCCGGGGCCCAACCCCGGGACUGCCCUUGGAACUGCAUGGCUGGAGUGCGGGAGGGGCAGGCGGAAUUCCUGGUGUAGCGGUGAAAUGCGUAGAUAUCAGGAGGAACACCGGCGGCGAAGGCGGCCUGCUGGACUGCGACUGACGUUGAGGCUCGAAAGCGUGGGGAGCGAACAGGAUUAGAUACCCUUGUAC
This 448-nucleotide ribosomal RNA is filed under the name uncultured bacterium. Its description in RNAcentral is "bacterial SSU rRNA". It matches the Rfam family "Bacterial small subunit ribosomal RNA", at positions 328 to 793 of the family's 1533-position model. The record is from RNAcentral.